Molecule: ribosomal RNA, 200 nt
Filed under: uncultured bacterium
Lineage: Bacteria
Description: partial 16S ribosomal RNA
Rfam family: Bacterial small subunit ribosomal RNA
Source: RNAcentral
AGAGUUUGAUCCUGGCUCAGGAUGAAUGCUGGCGGCGUGCUUAACACAUGCAAGUCGAGCGAGAGAGUCUCUUCGGAGACAAUCUAGCGGCGGACGGGUGAGUAACACGUGGGCAACCUGCCUUGUAGUGGGGGAUAGCCCUCCGAAAGGAGGAUUAAUACCGCAUAACAUUGCUUUAAGGCAUCUUAGAGCAAUCAAAG